UUAGGAGUUGCUACUAAAUUUCUUGAUAAUAUUGUGGCUAAUUAUUCUCAAUGGCACACCGAAAGAUCUUCUAGUAAAAAAGUGCAUGCUAUAGAAGAAAUCAAUGUUUUGAGUGGAAAGAUGGAUGAACUUAUGAAGAUGUUUGCUACUAAAAAUACUCCUCUUGAUCCCAAUGAUAUGCCUUUGUCUUCCUUGAUUGAGAAUAAUAAUGAAUCUAUGGAUGUGAAUUUUGUUGGUAGGAAUAGUUUUCGAAACAAUGCUUAUAGAGGACAUUUUAAUGCUAGACCGUUCCCUAGUAAUCCCUCUAAUAAUUAUGGAAAUUCCUACAAUAAUUCUUAUGGUAAUUUUAAUAAGAUGCCCUCUGAUUUUGAGAAUAUUGUGAAAGAAUUUAUGAUUUCUCAAAAGAAUUUUAAUGCUUUGCUUGAAGAAAAAUUGCUUAAAGUUGAUGAUUUGGCUAGGAACGUUGAUAGACUUUCGCUUGAUGUUAAUUCUCUUAAACUUGGAUCUUCUUCUCCUAAGCAUGAUAUCAAUGAGUCUCUCAAAGUAAUGAGAAUUUCCAUUGACGAGUGCAAGGAAAGAACCGCUAGAUUGCAUGCUAAAAAAUAA
Molecule: ribosomal RNA, 606 nt
Filed under: Triticum aestivum (bread wheat)
Lineage: Eukaryota; Viridiplantae; Streptophyta; Magnoliopsida; Poales; Poaceae
Description: partial small subunit ribosomal RNA
Source: RNAcentral